UUCGACGCGAAAAUUCGAUAAUAACUUUUUCGUUAAAGAUAUUCGAAACUGUGACCAAAAGCCCGAGAUUCGGUGAGCCGGCAACCCAAGCGAGAACAGCUUGCUUCACGUUGAAUACCUUUUUCGUAAAAGAAAAAUGCUGUGCGAGGGGGAUCGAGAACCGAGAUUCGACCUUCCAAGGACGCGGCAUCCUGGUCCAUAGCUACAUGUAAACUGGUCCAACACGAUACUGGAGUCAUCCCACACUUCGUUUCUUUUAUUUUUUGUUCAACUUAUUCGCGUGUACAGAGAGAAUAAUAAAUAAAAUACGUUCAACGUUCUCUGCA
This is a long non-coding RNA of Venturia canescens, 326 nucleotides long. RefSeq lists it as uncharacterized. The transcript is spliced from 2 exons. NCBI's taxonomy places the organism in Eukaryota, Metazoa, Arthropoda, Insecta, Hymenoptera, Ichneumonidae. The record is from RefSeq and is a predicted model, not a curated record.